GAUGAACGCUGGCGGCGUGCCUAAUACAUGCAAGUCGAGCGAACGGACGCGAACCUUGCUUCUCUGAUGUUAGCGGCGGACGGGUGAGUAACACGUGGAUCACCUACCUAUAAGACUGGGAUAAGUUCGGGAAACCGGAGCUAAUACCGGAUAAUAUUUUGCACCGCAUGGUUCUAAAGUGAAAGACGGUCUUGCUGUCUCUUAUAGCUGGCUCCGCGCUGCUUUAGCUAGUUGGUAAGGUAACGGCUUACCACGGCAACGAUGCAUAGCCGAGGUGAGAGGGGGAUCGGCCACAUGGGAACUGAGACACGGGCCAUAGGCCUACGGGAGGCAGCAGUAGGGAAUGUUCCGCAAUGGGCGAAAGCCUGACGGAGCAACGCAGCGUGAGUGAUGAAGGUCUUCGGAUCGUAAAACUCGGUUAUGAGGGAAGAACAUAUUUGUAAGGAACAGUGCAGAUCGUGACGGUACCUAAUCAGAAAGCCACGGCUAACUACGUG
RNAcentral lists this ribosomal RNA (497 nucleotides) under uncultured bacterium. Its description in RNAcentral is "partial 16S ribosomal RNA". It matches the Rfam family "Bacterial small subunit ribosomal RNA", at positions 28 to 507 of the family's 1533-position model. The record is from RNAcentral.